RNAcentral lists this small RNA (27 nucleotides) under Bombyx mori (domestic silkworm). RNAcentral's name for it is "ovarian small RNA-19609". The record is from RNAcentral. Lineage: Eukaryota; Metazoa; Arthropoda; Insecta; Lepidoptera; Bombycidae.
UAAUAUCGUUCGCGAUGAACCACUGUG